CAUGCAUACAAGCAAAACAUACAAAUUAUUGGAACGAAGGAUGCACAUAAAAUCGGUCAAAUAACCAGUUAAUUUCAACUUAACUUUACACAACAAGCUUCUUGGGAUACUUCAGAUCUGCGAAAAAUAUUUUUUUUGUUUAUAGAUUUUUCAAAAAAUCAGAUGCCCAAAACAGAUAGACAAAAAUGCAGAUGCCCAAAAUAUCUUACUGUAUUGAACAAGCUGUUGUUUCAAAAUUUGUGGCUAAAUGAAAAAAAAUAAUCAAUUCAGCAAGAAAAAAAAUACAUGGAGAUCGCAAGAAUUAAAGAUGCAGUCGAGGGAGGAGGCCGAGAUCUGGAAGCUAGGGCUGGGCGACGCCGUAGUUUGAAACUCGGACGGCGGCGGCUGGAUAAGGGCUGAGCAGAGGGAGGCAGCGGCUCAUUUAUCGUCGUCGAGGAGAGAGGCGACACCUCGUGGAGCGUCGUCUAGAUGUGAGGCCGGAGUUGGUAGUUUAGGGAUCUAAGGGUUUUCGGACCGCGGCUUUGCGGUUAAACGGUUGCAGGUUUUUCUCCGGCAGAGGGAGAAAGAAGACGAUAGAGAGAACGUUUGAGCUUCUCGCCGGCAGGUGGAAGAAAGUCGGCAGAGGGUGAGGCAGAGGGAGAGAGAAAACAAGGGAGAGCACGGAUGGGAGAAGAAAUGAGAGAGAAGAAGCGGCGCUGAACCCUAAUUUUAGAGGAGAUGAGUAUUUAGGCUGUAUUUUAGGGUUGAAAAGUGUGGAUGGGCUGUAUUUAUGUAAUUGGGCUGAAUUUAUUGUA
This 794-nucleotide long non-coding RNA is filed under the name Salvia miltiorrhiza (redroot sage). RNAcentral describes it as "long non-coding RNA (SMIL_LNC000480)". Lineage: Eukaryota; Viridiplantae; Streptophyta; Magnoliopsida; Lamiales; Lamiaceae. The record is from RNAcentral.